This 304-nucleotide ribosomal RNA is filed under the name Polylepta guttiventris. RNAcentral's name for it is "partial 12S ribosomal RNA". Lineage: Eukaryota; Metazoa; Arthropoda; Insecta; Diptera; Mycetophilidae. The record is from RNAcentral.
AGCGGUAUUUUAAUCUAAUCAGAGGAACUUGUUUUAUAAUUGAUAAUCCUCAAUUUAUCUUACUUAAUUUUGUUUAAUUUGUAUAUCGUCGUCAUAAGAAUAUCUUAAAAAAGGAAUAAUUUUCUAAAAUUUUUAUUAAAAAUUAUGUCAGAUCAAGGUGCAGUUUAUGAUUAAGAAAAAAUGAGUUACAAUAAAUUUAUUUAUAUGGAUAUAAAAGUUAAAUUUUUAUUAAAAGUGGAUUUGAUAGUAAAAUAAUUUAUAGAGAUUAUUUGAAAUUAGCUCUAAAAUAUGUACAAAUCGCCCU